GACGAACGCUGGCGGCGUGCUUAACACAUGCAAGUCGAACGGAAAGGCCCUGCUUUUGUGGGGUGCUCGAGUGGCGAACGGGUGAGUAACACGUGAGUAACCUGCCCUUGACUUUGGGAUAACUUCAGGAAACUGGGGCUAAUACCGGAUAGGAGCUCCUGCUGCAUGGUGGGGGUUGGAAAGUUUCGGCGGUUGGGGAUGGACUCGCGGCUUAUCAGCUUGUUGGUGGGGUAGUGGCUUACCAAGGCUUUGACGGGUAGCCGGCCUGAGAGGGUGACCGGCCACAUUGGGAUUGAGAUACGGCCCGGGCUCCUCCGGGAGGCAGCAGGGGGGAAUGUGGUACAAUGGGCUGAAGCCUGAAGCAGCCACGCCGCGGGGGGGAUGACGGCCUUCGGGUUGUAAACCGCUAUCGCCUGUGACGAAGCGUGAGUGACGGUAAUGGGUAAAAAAGCACCGGCUAACUACGUG
RNAcentral lists this ribosomal RNA (468 nucleotides) under uncultured bacterium. RNAcentral's name for it is "partial 16S ribosomal RNA". It matches the Rfam family "Bacterial small subunit ribosomal RNA", at positions 28 to 507 of the family's 1533-position model. The record is from RNAcentral.